Long non-coding RNA from Carassius carassius (crucian carp), 389 nucleotides. RefSeq lists it as uncharacterized. Lineage: Eukaryota; Metazoa; Chordata; Actinopteri; Cypriniformes; Cyprinidae. The transcript is spliced from 3 exons. The record is from RefSeq and is a predicted model, not a curated record.
UUCACUAAGUAUAUAAUAAUCUUGCAAAAAAAAAAAAAAAAAAGAGUCAAUGCGCGAUCUCUGAAUCUUAGCAGGUUUAGGUCUGGUUAGUACUUGGAUGAGAGACUGCCUGGGAAUACCAGGUGCUUUAAGCUUUUUGGAAAUCUUUCAGUAAUUAUAUAAUAAUCUUGCCAAAAAUAAAAUAUCAAUGCCCGAUCUCUGAAUAUUAGCAGGUUUGGGCCUUGUUAGUGCUUGGAUGGGAGACGGCCUGGGAAUACCAGGUGCUUUAAGCUUUUUGGAAAUUUUUCAGUAAUUAUAUAAUAAUCUUGCCAAAAAAAGAGUCAAUGCCCAAUCUCUGAAUAUUAGCAGGUUUGGGCCUGGUUAGUACUUGGAUGGGAGACCGCCUUGGA